UUGUAGUUGGGCUGUUUCCUGCAGCAUGGCUGCUCUCCUGUAAGACUUGCGGGGCGUCUCCUUCUCCCGAGACACUGAAUCAGCACUUUAUUAACAGGAUGUGGCCAUGCUAACUCAGUUUUGGAAAGAGAGUGUUAUAUUCAGAAAUUUACAGAAUAAAAAGUAGAAAAUAAAA
This is a non-coding RNA of Podarcis muralis (Common wall lizard), 175 nucleotides long. Lineage: Eukaryota; Metazoa; Chordata; Lepidosauria; Squamata; Lacertidae. The record is from RefSeq and is a predicted model, not a curated record.